This 21-nucleotide microRNA is filed under the name Cavia porcellus (domestic guinea pig). RNAcentral's name for it is "cpo-miR-507b-3p". Its record names the gene cpo-miR-507b-3p. The record is from miRBase by way of RNAcentral. Lineage: Eukaryota; Metazoa; Chordata; Mammalia; Rodentia; Caviidae.
AUUGGCACUUUUUUGAGUGCA